AUUGGUUACAUGUUACGUUUGCUAUAUCAUCUUUGGUAGUUAAUUUUUAUAUGUUAAAAUAAACUAUUUUGGUUAAUAAUUUGAUAAAUUAAACUUGUUUUAAACAAGAAUAUAUUAAUAUAUUAUUGAUUAUUACUUUAAUUGAUUCUAAGAAAAAUAUAUUAUUGUUUUAACUUAAUUUUACUUAUGCAAAGUGUACGACCCAAUUAUUGCUCGGCCCAUAAAUAAAACCAAUAUAAAAGCAAAAAAAAAAAAAAGAAUAAAAGUCCAUUUACAUAAAUAAAACAGUCCAAAUUACAAUUACCCAAAACCCAAGUUGUAGAGGCCCAAGUUGUAGUCCACACCACAGCAGCCUCGCAAUGCGCCACCUUCAGUCUUCCUCUCCACGCGCACCACGCCACCACCUCCGGUCCCAGUUUCAAUAGUUUAAAACAGCGCCAUAUUGGCCAUUCAGCAUCAGUAACCCGCGC
RNAcentral lists this long non-coding RNA (470 nucleotides) under Gossypium raimondii (Peruvian cotton). Its description in RNAcentral is "long non-coding RNA (GRAI_LNC006154)". The record is from RNAcentral. Lineage: Eukaryota; Viridiplantae; Streptophyta; Magnoliopsida; Malvales; Malvaceae.